Molecule: ribosomal RNA, 461 nt
Filed under: uncultured Desulfobulbus sp.
Lineage: Bacteria; Pseudomonadati; Thermodesulfobacteriota; Desulfobulbia; Desulfobulbales; Desulfobulbaceae
Description: bacterial SSU rRNA
Rfam family: Bacterial small subunit ribosomal RNA
Source: RNAcentral
CACAAGCGGUGGAGUAUGUGGUUUAAUCGAUGCAACGCGAAGAACCUUACCUGGUCUUGACAUCCCGGAGACCCUUAGGAACUAGGGGUGCUUCCAUCUGGAAGAAUCUGGAGACAGGUGCUGCAUGGCUGUCGUCAGCUCGUGUCGUGAGAUGUUGGGUUAAGUCCCGCAACGAGCGCAACCCUUGCCUUUAGUUGCCAGCAGUUCGGCUGGGCACUCUAAAGGGACUGCCGGUGUUAAACCGGAGGAAGGUGGGGAUGACGUCAAGUCCUCAUGGCCUUUAUGACCAGGGCUACACACGUACUACAAUGGCCGAUACAAAGGGCAGCGACACUGCGAGGUGAAGCCAAUCCCGUAAAAUCGGUCUCAGUCCGGAUUGGAGUCUGCAACUCGACUCCAUGAAGUUGGAAUCGCUAGUAAUCGUGGAUCAGCAUGCCACGGUGAAUACGUUCCCGGGCCUU